RNAcentral lists this ribosomal RNA (499 nucleotides) under uncultured bacterium. Its description in RNAcentral is "partial 16S ribosomal RNA". It matches the Rfam family "Bacterial small subunit ribosomal RNA", at positions 28 to 507 of the family's 1533-position model. The record is from RNAcentral.
GACGAACGCUGGCGGCGUGCCUAAUACAUGCAAGUCGAGCGAAGUUUUUCUGGUGCUUGCACUAGAAAAACUUAGCGGCGAACGGGUGAGUAACACGUAAAGAACCUGCCUCAUAGACUGGGACAACUAUUGGAAACGAUAGCUAAUACCGGAUAACAGUAUUUCUCGCAUGAGAGAUAUUUAAAAGUUGGUUAUGCUAACACUAUGAGAUGGCUUUGCGGUGCAUUAGCUAGUUGGUGGGGUAAAGGCCCACCAAGGCGACGAUGCAUAGCCGACCUGAGAGGGUGAUCGGCCACACUGGGACUGAGACACGGCCCAGACUCCUACGGGAGGCAGCAGUAGGGAAUCUUCCGCAAUGGGCGAAAGCCUGACGGAGCAACGCCGCGUGAGUGAAGAAGGAUUUCGGUUCGUAAAGCUCUGUUGUUAGGGAAGAGUGGAUAUGUAGUAACUAUACAUGUAAGAGACGGUACCUAACCAGAAAGCCACGGCUAACUACGUG